UACGUAGGGUGCAAGCGUUGUCCGGAAUUAUUGGGCGUAAAGAGCUCGUAGGCGGUCUGUCGCGUCGGCUGUGAAAUCCCGGGGCUCAACCCCGGGCCUGCAGUCGAUACGGGCAGACUAGAGUGCGGUAGGGGAGACUGGAAUUCCUGGUGUAGCGGUGAAAUGCGCAGAUAUCGGGAGGAACACCGGUGGCGAAGGCGGUUCUCUGGGCCUGUUCUGACGCUGAGGAGCGAAAGCGUGGGGAGCAAACAGG
Molecule: ribosomal RNA, 253 nt
Filed under: uncultured bacterium
Lineage: Bacteria
Description: partial 16S ribosomal RNA
Rfam family: Bacterial small subunit ribosomal RNA
Source: RNAcentral